ACGUAAUCAAUGCGAGCUGAUGACUCGCGUUUACUAGGAAUUCCUCGUUGAAGAUCAAUAAUUGCAAUGAUCUAUCCCCAGCACGACGGAGGUUCAAAAGAUUACCCAGACUUCUCAGUCAAGGUUGUAAGCUCGAUGAAUCCAUCAGUGUAGCGCGCGUGCGGCCCAAAACAUCUAAGGGCAUCACAGACCUGUUAUUGCCUCGAACUUCC
This 212-nucleotide ribosomal RNA is filed under the name uncultured fungus. RNAcentral describes it as "partial 18S ribosomal RNA". The record is from RNAcentral. Lineage: Eukaryota; Fungi.